AGUCGAACGAACUUCCGUUAAUUGAUUAUGACGUGCUUGCACUGAMUGAGAUUUUAACACGAAGUGAGUGGCGGACGGGUGAGUAACACGUGGGUAACCUGCCCAGAAGCAGGGGAUAACACCUGGAAACAGAUGCUAAUACCGUAUAACAGAGAAAACCGCCUGGUUUUCUUUUAAAAGAUGGCUCUGCUAUCACUUCUGGAUGGACCCGCGGCGCAUUAGCUAGUUGGUGAGGUAACGGCUCACCAAGGCGAUGAUGCGUAGCCGACCUGAGAGGGUAAUCGGCCACAUUGGGACUGAGACACGGCCCAGACUCCUACGGGAGGCAGCAGUAGGGAAUCUUCCACAAUGGACGCAAGUCUGAUGGAGCAACGCCGCGUGAGUGAAGAAGGGUUUCGGCUCGUAAAGCUCUGUUGUUAAAGAAGAACGUGGGUGAGAGUAACUGUUCACCCAGUGACGGUAUUUAACCAGAAAGCCACGGCUAACUACGUGCCAGCAGCCGCGGUAAUACGUAGGUGGCAAGCGUUAUCCGGAUUUAUUGGGCGUAAAGCGAGCGCAGGCGGUCUUUUAAGUCUAAUGUGAAAGCCUUCGGCUCAACCGAAGAAGUGCAUUGGAAACUGGGAGACUUGAGUGCAGAAGAGGAYAGUGGAACUCCAUGUGUAGCGGUGAAAUGCGUAGAUAUAUGGAAGAACACCAGUGGCGAAGGCGGCUGUCUGGUCUGUAACUGACGCUGAGGCUCGAAAGCAUGGGUAGCGAACAGGAUUAGAUACCCUGGUAGUCCAUGCCGUAAACGAUGAUUACUAAGUGUUGGAGGGUUUCCGCCCUUCAGUGCUGCAGCUAACGCAUUAAGUAAUCCGCCUGGGGAGUACGACCGCAAGGUUGAAACUCAAAAGAAUUGACGGGGGCCCGCACAAGCGGUGGAGCAUGUGGUUUAAUUCGAAGCUACGCGAAGAACCUUACCAGGUCUUGACAUCUUCUGCCAACCUAAGAGAUUAGGCGUUCCCUUCGGGGACAGAAUGACAGGUGGUGCAUGGUUGUCGUCAGCUCGUGUCGUGAGAUGUUGGGUUAAGUCCCGCAACGAGCGCAACCCUUAUUACUAGUUGCCAGCAUUCAGUUGGGCACUCUAGUGAGACUGCCGGUGACAAACCGGAGGAAGGUGGGGACGACGUCAAAUCAUCAUGCCCCUUAUGACCUGGGCUACACACGUGCUACAAUGGAUGGUACAACGAGUYGCGAAACCGCGAGGUUUAGCUAAUCUCUUAAAACCAUUCUCAGUUCGGACUGUAGGCUGCAACUCGCCUACACGAAGUCGGAAUCGCUAGUAAUCGCGGAUCAGCAUGCCGCGGKGAAUACGUUCCCGGGCCUUGUACACACCGCCCGYCWCUCCAUGAGAGUUUGUAACACCCAAAGCCGGUGGGGUAACCUUUU
This 1428-nucleotide ribosomal RNA is filed under the name Pediococcus sp. RNAcentral describes it as "bacterial SSU rRNA". It matches the Rfam family "Bacterial small subunit ribosomal RNA". Lineage: Bacteria; Bacillati; Bacillota; Bacilli; Lactobacillales; Lactobacillaceae. The record is from RNAcentral.